This 452-nucleotide ribosomal RNA is filed under the name Dendropsophus aff. minutus. Its description in RNAcentral is "partial 16S ribosomal RNA". It matches the Rfam family "Bacterial large subunit ribosomal RNA", at positions 1819 to 2480 of the family's 2925-position model. Lineage: Eukaryota; Metazoa; Chordata; Amphibia; Anura; Hylidae. The record is from RNAcentral.
CGCCUCUUGAAACUACAUAAGAGGUCCAGCCUGCCCAGUGACUAAGUUCAACGGCCGCGGUAUCCUAACCGUGCGAAGGUAGCGUAAUCACUUGUUCUUUAAAUGAGGACUAGUAUGAAUGGCACCACGAGGGUUAUGCUGUCUCCUUUUUCUAAUCAAUGAAACUGAUCUCCCCGUGAAGAAGCGGGGAUAUACCUAUAAGACGAGAAGACCCUAUGGAGCUUUAAAUCAUGUAACACUGGCUUUCACAUUAAAAUAUUCCAGAAUUUUCAUAAUUACUCUAGCCACUAUGAUUACUAGUUUUAGGUUGGGGUGACCACGGAGCAAAAAUUAACCUCCAUGUUGAACGGAGCUACUCCUGAGCCAAAAGCCACGACUUUAAGCACUAAAAAAUUAACAUUAAUUGACCCAAUAUUUUUGAUCAACGAACCAAGUUACCCUAGGGAUAACAG